This is a non-coding RNA of Schistosoma margrebowiei, 46 nucleotides long. The record is from Rfam. NCBI's taxonomy places the organism in Eukaryota, Metazoa, Platyhelminthes, Trematoda, Strigeidida, Schistosomatidae.
GCACUCCCGAGGAGUCCCACAAUAGGACGAAACGGCCGUCCAGUAU